GAGUUUGAUCCUGGCUCAGGACGACGCCUGGCGGCGUGCCUAACACAUGCAAGUCGAACGGAGUAUUCAGCAAUGGAUACUUAGUGGCGAACGGGUGAGUAACGCGUAGAUAAUCUGCUUCAAAGAUGGGGACAACACUUGGAAACGAGUGCUAAUACCGAAUGUGGUAUCUUGUGUGCAUACACGAGAUAAAAAAGAUGGCCUCUGAAUAUGCUAUCGCUUUGAGAUGAGUCUGCGUCUGAUUAGCUAGUUGGAGAGGUAAAAGCUCACCAAGGCGACGAUCAGUAGCCGGUCUGAGAGGAUGAACGGCCACACUGGGACUGAGACACGGCCCAGACUCCUACGGGAGGCAGCAGUGGGGAAUCUUCCGCAAUGGACGAAAGUCUGACGGAGCAACGCCGCGUGAGUGAAGAAGGUCUUCGGAUUGUAAAGCUCUGUCAACUAGGACGAAUGUGUGAUUUGUGAAUAAUGAAUCAUAAUGACGGUACUAGAGAAGGAAGCCACGGCUAACUACGUGCCAGCAGCCGCGGUAAUACGUAGGUGGCGAGCGUUGUCCGGAAUUAUUGGGCGUAAAGAGCGCGUAGGCGGGUAGAUAAGUCUGUUUUAAAAGUGCGGGGCUCAACCCCGUGAUGGAAUGGAAACUGUUUAUCUUGAGUACCGGAGAGGAAAGUGGAAUUCCCAGUGUAGCGGUGAAAUGCGUAGAUAUUGGGUGGGACACCAGUGGCGAAGGCGACUUUCUGGACGGUGUCUGACGCUGAGGCGCGAAAGCCAGGGAGGGGCCCUUUAAAGGGAUACCCNNGGUAAUANAAGGCAAANAANGGGAGCGCCUUNUAUGGUGUAGAGNGGUAUCGACCCCUUCUGUGCCGGAGUAAGCCCAAUAAGUCCCCCGCCUGGGGAGUACGGCCGCAAGGUUAAAACUCAAAGAAAUUGACGGGGGCCCGCACAAGCGGGGGAGUAUGUGUUUUAAUUCGACGCAACGCGAAGAACCUUACCAGGACUUGACAUUGAGUGAAAGUUUAAGAGAUUAGAGCCUCUCCUUCGGGAGACACAAAAACAGGUGGUGCAUGGCUGUCGUCAGCUCGUGUCGUGAGAUGUUGGGUUAAGUCCCGCAACGAGCGCAACCCUUAUCCUAUGUUGCCAGCGAGUAAAGUCGGGAACUCAUGGGAGACUGCCGCAGACAAUGCGGAGGAAGGCGGGGAUGACGUCAAGUCAUCAUGCCCCUUAUGUCCUGGGCUACACACGUACUACAAUGGGCUUUAAUAGAGGGAAGCAAGACCGCGAGGUGGAGCGAACCCCAAAAACAAGCUCUCAGUUCGGAUCGCAGGCUGCAACUCGCCUGCGUGAAGUCGGAAUCGCUAGUAAUCGCAGAUCAGCAUGCUGCGGUGAAUACGUUCCCGGGCCUUGUACACACCGCCCGUCACACCACGA
This 1428-nucleotide ribosomal RNA is filed under the name uncultured bacterium. RNAcentral's name for it is "16S ribosomal RNA". It matches the Rfam family "Bacterial small subunit ribosomal RNA". The record is from RNAcentral.